GGAAGCAGGGGGGACCACCCUCCAAGGCGAAAUACUGAUAUGGACCGAUAGCGCAGAGUACCGUGAGGGAACGGUGAAAAGAACCCCAGGUAGGGGAGUGAAAUAGAACCUGAAAUUUAUUGCUUACAAUUGAGUGGGAGCCUACGGGUGACCACGUACCUAUUGACGAAUGGGUCAGCGAGUUAUUAGUAGUAGCAAGGUUAAGGCAGUUAUAGCUGGAGCCGUAGCGAAAGCGAGUCUGAAUAGGGCGAUAGUUAUUAUUAAUAGACCCGAAGCGGUAUGAGCUAGACAUGGGCAGGUUGAAGGCAUAGGAAACUAUGCUGGAGGACCGAACGGGUUGGUGCUGCAAAACCUUCCGAUGACCUGUGUUUAGGAGUGAAAAGCUCAUCGAAUACCGUGAUAGCUGGUUCUCUCCGAAAUGCAUUUAGGUGCAGCCUGUAUUUUAAGGUCUUGAAGAGGUAGAGCUCUGGAAAGGCUAGGGGGGUCGAGAGAUCUUACCAAACCUUACUAAACUUCGAAUGCUUCAAGGAAUAAUACAGAGUGGGACUGCGGGAGCAAGUUUCGUAGUCAAAAGGAUAACAGUCCAGACUUCUGAUUAAGGUCCCUAAAGUAAUGCUAAGUGGAAAAAGAGGUGUCUUUACUUAUACAUCCAGGAGGUUUGCCUAGAAGCAGCAAUCCUUUAAAGAAAGCGUAACAGCUCACUGGACUAGCGAAGAUGCGCUGAAGAUGUAACGGGGCUAAGCAUUAUACCGAAAUCGAAGACCAGUGUAGUAAUACACUGUGUGGUAGGAGAGUGUUCUUACAGGAUGAAGCUACAUCGUGAGGUGUGGUCGACUAGUAAGAAGUAAAAAUGCUGACAUGAGUAACGCUUAUUGAUGAAAAUUCAAUAUAUCGAAACCCUAAGGAUUCCUACGCAACGUUCAUCGUCGUAGGGUUAGUCGGGACCUAAGGCUUAUCCAGAAGUGGAGAGUCGAUGGAUAACUGGUUAAUAUUCCAGUACUUAUAUAAAGAGUGAUGGAGUAACGCAUUGAGAUUUGUGAGAGCUUAUUAAGGAUUUAAGUCGAAAGAACAAGGUUUUUAUAGCAUUAGCUAUAAAGGUAGUUGCAGGAAAAUCCACAGCUAUUGAUACUGAGUUUGAUCGGGAUUCAAUUCCUUGGAAUUGGAAAUUCUCAUCGUUUUGGUGCCGAGAAAAACCUCUAAACUUAAUCUAUAUGUAACCCGUACCCAGAUCAGACACUUGUGGGGUGGUAGAGAAUACUAAGAUAAUCGAGAUAACUAAUGGGUAAGGAACUUGGCAAAUUAGCGGACGUACUUUCGAAAUAAGUCCUGUCCCGAGCAAUCGGGAUCGCAGCGAAAGAGAUGGGGGGAACUGUUUAUCAAAAACACAGCUCUCUGCUAACUCGUAAGAGGAUGUAUAGCGGGUGAUGCCUGUCCAAUGCCAGAAUGUUAUGCUCUCUUGUGCAAGCUCGAGGGUUAAGCACUGGUGAAUGACGGCCGUAACUAUGACGGUCCUAAGGUAGCGAAAUUCCUUGUCAGGUAAGUUCUGACGCGCAUGAAUGGCAUAAUCAUCCCCAUGCUGUCUUACCCUUAGACUCGGUGAAAUUACAUUCCCGGUAAAAAUGCCGGGUAGUCACAGUUAGACGGAAAGACCCUGUGAAGCUUUACUGUAGAUU
Molecule: ribosomal RNA, 1673 nt
Filed under: human oral metagenome
Description: bacterial LSU rRNA
Rfam family: Bacterial large subunit ribosomal RNA
Source: RNAcentral